GGCAGGCGCUGCUAAUACAUGCAAGUCGAGCGCGGGAAGCAGGCAGAUCCUCUUCGGAGGUGACGCCUGUGGAACGAGCGGCGGACGGGUGAGUAACACGUGGGCAACCUGCCUGUAAGAUUGGGAUAACCCCGGGAAACCGGGGCUAAUACCGGAUAAUACUUUUCGUUGCAUAACGAGAAGUUGAAAGGCGGCUUUUAGCUGUCACUUACAGAUGGGCCCGCGGCGCAUUAGCUAGUUGGUAAGGUAACGGCUUACCAAGGCGACGAUGCGUAGCCGACCUGAGAGGGUGAUCGGCCACACUGGGACUGAGACACGGCCCAGACUCCUACGGGAGGCAGCAGUAGGGAAUCUUCCGCAAUGGACGAAAGUCUGACGGAGCAACGCCGCGUGAGUGAUGAAGGUUUUCGGAUCGUAAAACUCUGUUGUCAGGGAAGAACAAGUGCCGUUCAAAUAGGGCGGCACCUUGACGGUACCUGACCAGAAAGCCCCGGCUAACUACGUGCCAGCAGCCGCGGUAAUACGUAGGGGGCAAGCGUUGUCCGGAAUUAUUGGGCGUAAAGCGCGCGCAGGCGGUCCUUUAAGUCUGAUGUGAAAGCCCACGGCUUAACCGUGGAGGGCCAUUGGAAACUGGAGGACUUGAGUACAGAAGAGGAGAGUGGAAUUCCACGUGUAGCGGUGAAAUGCGUAGAGAUGUGGAGGAACACCAGUGGCGAAGGCGACUCUCUGGUCUGUAACUGACGCUGAGGUGCGAAAGCGUGGGGAGCGAACAGGAUUAGAUACCCUGGUAGUCCACGCCGUAAACGAUGAGUGCUAGGUGUUAAGGGGGUUUCCGCCCCUUAGUGCUGAAGUUAACGCAUUAAGCACUCCGCCUGGGGAGUACGGCCGCAAGGCUGAAACUCAAAAGAAUUGACGGGGGCCCGCACAAGCGGUGGAGCAUGUGGUUUAAUUCGAAGCAACGCGAAGAACCUUACCAGGUCUUGACAUCCUCUGCCAAUCCUAGAGAUAGGAUGUUCCCUUCGGGGACAGAGUGACAGGUGGUGCAUGGUUGUCGUCAGCUCGUGUCGUGAGAUGUUGGGUUAAGUCCCGCAACGAGCGCAACCCUUGAUCUUAGUUGCCAGCAUUUAGUUGGGCACUCUAAGGUGACUGCCGGUGACAACCGGAGGAAGUGGGGAUGACGUCAAUCAUCAUGCCCCUAUGACCGGGCUACCACCUGCUACAUGGAUGGAACAAGGGCACCGAACCGCGGGUCAAGCAAUCCCUAAAAC
RNAcentral lists this ribosomal RNA (1268 nucleotides) under Virgibacillus salarius. Its description in RNAcentral is "bacterial SSU rRNA". It matches the Rfam family "Bacterial small subunit ribosomal RNA", at positions 38 to 1281 of the family's 1533-position model. Lineage: Bacteria; Bacillati; Bacillota; Bacilli; Caryophanales; Bacillaceae. The record is from RNAcentral.